Molecule: non-coding RNA, 95 nt
Organism: Punica granatum (pomegranate)
Lineage: Eukaryota; Viridiplantae; Streptophyta; Magnoliopsida; Myrtales; Lythraceae
Source: Rfam
CACUGGAGGCAGCGGUUCAUCGAUCUCUUCCUGGAUUUUGUUGUGAAAAAUACUCAAACAGAACAUGAAUGGGUCGAUAAACCUCUGCAUCCAGC